Molecule: unclassified non-coding RNA, 559 nt
Filed under: Hevea brasiliensis (rubber tree)
Lineage: Eukaryota; Viridiplantae; Streptophyta; Magnoliopsida; Malpighiales; Euphorbiaceae
Source: RNAcentral
GCCAAAUAAGCCUCAUGUACUUCAGAACAAGGUGAGAAUUUCACUCUAGCAAAGGGUAAUUACACAAAUAUUAACGCCUCGCCGUAAACAAUUCCCAAGUUACCAUCGGAACAGCAAAAUACAAUACAUCAACCAGACAUGAGUUAACAAGACACCUUUAUGUUUAUGUUUUAUCUACUUUACACGUGUUCUCCAGUACAUGAGGCUUAUUUGGCCUGUGAGGGAUCAAGCACCUGGCCAAUGAACAGCACCAUUCCACUAAUGUCUUCUCUGAUCAAGAACAAGAAUGGAUGGUCAGCUACAAAGUCCAGUUUAUCAGCAAGCGUAAGACUUUCCAAGUUUACAACACCAGCAGAAGCCGCUGCAGCUUCUGUGCCUCCUUCAUUUACUUCGAUGAAGGAUUUAUGGAAUAUGCUUGAAACAUACAGGUUCUUACUAACGGAGGAGUCCACCAUCUCUGUCAAGUCUCCUUUGUCGGAGAAUGGCAACACCAGUCCUAAUCCUUUUAGAGUUUUGGAAGCUUCAAAUCCAAAGGAAACCUUAAACCUAGGAAUCCUGA